This 22-nucleotide microRNA is filed under the name Populus trichocarpa (black cottonwood). RNAcentral's name for it is "ptc-miR6437a". Lineage: Eukaryota; Viridiplantae; Streptophyta; Magnoliopsida; Malpighiales; Salicaceae. The record is from miRBase by way of RNAcentral.
UCACGGACGGCGGCUCCAAGCA